This 216-nucleotide ribosomal RNA is filed under the name Glomeromycotina sp. RNAcentral describes it as "partial small subunit ribosomal RNA". The stretch from base 40 to 216 matches the Rfam family "Eukaryotic small subunit ribosomal RNA", at positions 686 to 864 of the family's 1831-position model. The record is from RNAcentral. Lineage: Eukaryota; Fungi; Glomeromycota.
GGGUCAGUAGGUUGGUCGUGCCACCGGUACGUACUGGUCUCACUGAUUCCUCCUUCCUGAAGAACCGUAAUGCCAUUAAUUUGGUGUUGCGGGGAAACAGGACUGUUACUUUGAAAGAAUGAGAGUGUUUAAAGCAAGCUAACGCUUGAAUACAUUAGCAUGGAAUAAUGAAAUAGGACGAUCGAUCCUAUUUUGUUGGUUUCUAGGAUUGACGUA